Molecule: long non-coding RNA, 723 nt
Organism: Armigeres subalbatus
Lineage: Eukaryota; Metazoa; Arthropoda; Insecta; Diptera; Culicidae
Exons: 3
Source: RefSeq, a predicted model, not a curated record
CGGCUUUGCACCAAAAUCUUGUUUCAAAAAUCCUUUUGAUUUAAAGAAAAAUCACAUGCUAAUUUAUUCGUUUAACAUAUAGAAUGAGUGCGAAAAUGGAAAAAAAAUUAAAUUGUGUAAAAACAGAAGUGGAACUUUGUUUGAAACAAUAUUUUAACAUUUCACGCAGCUAAAUUUCAUACGGUUAAACUAAAAAAGAAUAUUGUUGAUUCCAACAAUCGAUCUAUUAUUGAACCAAAAAUAUUUGAUUGUUGAUUUAACAAUAUUGUAUGUUGAAACAACAGUAUUAUUUUUAUUUCAACAGUAUUUAUUUUUGAACCGAGUUUGCGUUUUUGGGAAUAGGCGUGUAUUUUUGAAUGUCAACAACAUUCUUUAUUCGUUUGUUCUAAUAUAAAUUAAAGCCGCUGGUCUUAAGCUAAAUAAUUGAUUUCUAAAUAAAGCUCUAUAGUUUUCCUAAAUUAAAUAAAAGAGAGAUUUAUUGAAAACUCGCUGUGAGGAGAAAUCAGCAACGUUGUGGUGCAUACAUAUGCGUAGAAUGAAACCAUAAAAAGGACUACCGUAUCCGUCUCCAUAUGUAUUCCCGGCCAAACAGAUCUUGGAAAGACCAGGAUUUUCUGUACACAUCUGCAGUCUAUUAUGCACCAUCAGAAACAACAGCAGAUUGACCAACAUAAAUAAUAAUAUACAUAUAUUCAAAUAAAAUGAAAACAAUAAACAUUUCCC